This 369-nucleotide ribosomal RNA is filed under the name uncultured bacterium. RNAcentral describes it as "bacterial SSU rRNA". It matches the Rfam family "Bacterial small subunit ribosomal RNA", at positions 527 to 896 of the family's 1533-position model. The record is from RNAcentral.
GUAGGGUGCGAGCGUUAAUCGGAAUUACUGGGCGUAAAGCGUGCGUAGGCGGUUGGCAAAGUCAGCUGUGAAAGCCCCGGGCUUAACCUGGGAAUGGCGGUUGAAACUAGUCGACUCGAAUCUGGCAGAGGGGGGGGGAAUUACUCGUGUAGCAGCGAAAUGNGUAGAGAUGUGGAGGAACACCGAUGGCGAAGGCAGCCCCCUGGGCUGAGAUUGACGCUCAGGCACGAAAGCGUGGGGAGCAAACAGGAUUAGAUACCCUGGUAGUCCACGCCCUAAACGAUGUCAACUAGGUGUUGGGAGCGCAAGUUCUCAGUACCGCAGCUAACGCGUGAAGUUGACCGCCUGGGGAGUACGGUCGCAAGAUUA